UACAGAGGUCCCAAGCGUUGUUCGGAUUCACUGGGCGUAAAGGGUGCGUAGGCGGCCGGGUAAGUCUGAUGUGAAAUCCCGCAGCUUAACUGCGGAACUGCAUCGGAUACUCUCCGGCUAGAGGAAUGGAGGGGAGACUGGAAUUCUCGGUGUAGCAGUGAAAUGCGUAGAGAUGUGGAGGAAUACCGAUGGCGAAGGCAGCCCCCUGGGAUAACACUGACGCUCAUGCACGAAAGCGUGGGGAGCAAACAGG
RNAcentral lists this ribosomal RNA (253 nucleotides) under uncultured bacterium. Its description in RNAcentral is "partial 16S ribosomal RNA". It matches the Rfam family "Bacterial small subunit ribosomal RNA", at positions 524 to 776 of the family's 1533-position model. The record is from RNAcentral.